Molecule: ribosomal RNA, 250 nt
Filed under: uncultured Sphingobacteriia bacterium
Lineage: Bacteria; Pseudomonadati; Bacteroidota; Sphingobacteriia
Description: partial 16S ribosomal RNA
Rfam family: Bacterial small subunit ribosomal RNA
Source: RNAcentral
GCGACCGGCAAACGGGUGCGGAACACGUACGCAACUUACCCAAAACUGGGGAAUAGCCCGGGGAAACCCGGAUUAAUACCCCGUAACAUAAUUGAAUGGCAUCAUUUGAUUAUUAUAGAUUUUAUCGGUUUUGGAUGGGCGUGCGCCUGAUUAGGUAGUUGGCGGGGUAAUGGCCCACCAAGCCUACGAUCAGUAACUGGUGUGAGAGCACGACCAGUCACACGGGCACUGAGACACGGGCCCGACUCCU